RNAcentral lists this ribosomal RNA (329 nucleotides) under uncultured eukaryote. RNAcentral's name for it is "partial 18S ribosomal RNA". It matches the Rfam family "Eukaryotic small subunit ribosomal RNA", at positions 1470 to 1796 of the family's 1831-position model. The record is from RNAcentral.
CCCUUAGAUGUCCUGGGCCGCACGCGCGCUACACUGAGUGUCUGAGAUACGAGUCUGCCUGGUCCGGCAAGGUCUAGGUAAUCGCUAAAAGACACAUCAUGCUUGGGAUAGAUUAUUGCAAAUAUUAAUCUUGAACGAGGAAUUCCUAGUAAGCGCAAGUCAACAGCUUGCGUUGAUUACGUCCCUGCCCUUUGUACACACCGCCCGUCGCUACUACUGAUUGGAUGUUUAAGCGAGGUUCUCGAACUGCUAGCGACUUAGCUUCGGUGAGGUCGCAGUGUGUGAAGUGAACCUAGCUUUGGUGUCUAGAGGAAGUAAAAGUCGUAACA